UGGGGAAUAUUGGACAAUGGGGGAAACCCUGAUCCAGCGAUGCCGCGUGUGUGAAGAAGGCCUGCGGGUUGUAAAGCACUUUCAGUUGGGAAGAUAGUUUGUAGGGGAAUAUCCUGCAGAUGAGACGUUACUAACAAAAGAAGCACCGGCUAACUACGUGCCAGCAGCCGCGGUAAUACGUAGGGACCAAGCGUUGUUCGGAUUUACUGGGCGUAAAGGGCGCGUAGGCGGCUUGACAAGUCACUUGUGAAAUCUCUGGGCUUAACCCAGAACGGCCAAGUGAAACUGUCAUGCUAGAGUGCAGAAGGGGCAAUCGGAAUUCUUGGUGUAGCGGUGAAAUGCGUAGAUAUCAAGAGGAACACCUGAGGUGAAGACGGGUUGCUGGGCUGACACUGACGCUGAGGCGCGAAAGCCAGGGGAGCAAACGGGAUUAGAUACCCAUGUAGUCCCUGAGCGGGCUGGCAAGGCGCAU
Molecule: ribosomal RNA, 472 nt
Filed under: uncultured bacterium
Lineage: Bacteria
Description: bacterial SSU rRNA
Rfam family: Bacterial small subunit ribosomal RNA
Source: RNAcentral